GAUGAACGCUGGCGGCGUGCCUAAUACAUGCAAGUCGAGCGAACAGAUGAGGAGCUUGCUCCUCUGACGUUAGCGGCGGACGGGUGGGUAACACGUGGAUAACCUACCUAUAAGACUGGGAUAACUUCGGGAAACCGGAGCUAAUACCGGAUAAUAUAUUGAACCGCAUGGUUCAAUAGUGAAAGACGGUUUUGCUGUCACUUAUAGAUGGAUCCGCGCCGCAUUAGCUAGUUGGUAAGGUAACGGCUUACCAAGGCAACGAUGCGUAGCCGACCUGAGAGGGUGAUCGGCCACACUGGAACUGAGACACGGUCCAGACUCCUACGGGAGGCAGCAGUAGGGAAUCUUCCGCAAUGGGCGAAAGCCUGACGGAGCAACGCCGCGUGGGUGAUGAAGGUCUUCGGAUCGUAAAACUCUGUUAUUAGGGAAGAACAAAUGUGUAAGUAACUAUGCACGUCUUGACGGUACCUAAUCAGAAAGCCACGGCUAACUACGUG
This 497-nucleotide ribosomal RNA is filed under the name uncultured bacterium. RNAcentral describes it as "partial 16S ribosomal RNA". It matches the Rfam family "Bacterial small subunit ribosomal RNA", at positions 28 to 507 of the family's 1533-position model. The record is from RNAcentral.